UAUUCAACUUUUAAUAGAGAAAUUUAAUGGAAUAUAGAUGAAAGAGACUGAUAAUAAACAUAUUAUUAAAUUAGCUAUUCUUACAAGUUAUUUUAGGAAAUCCUAUUCCUAAUAAAAUGCAAGUAUCCAUUAUUUUAUAUAGUUUGCCUGAUUCUUGGGAGCAUGUUAUAAUUUUUCUUAAUUAUUCAGGUCAACUAAUUAUACUAAGAAAUUUGACAAUAUUAUGAAGGAUUGAAGCUGAAAGAAAGGCUAAAAAAAUCAUAGCUAAAUCUUUUUUGACAAUUGCUUCUAGUAGCGCGCUAUAAAAAGUUGAGCCACCUAGG
This 323-nucleotide long non-coding RNA is filed under the name Elaeis guineensis (African oil palm). RNAcentral describes it as "long non-coding RNA (EGUI_LNC024329)". Lineage: Eukaryota; Viridiplantae; Streptophyta; Magnoliopsida; Arecales; Arecaceae. The record is from RNAcentral.